GGACCGUGAAUCAAUCCUAAUAUAGUGGAAGCACAAUGGCCCAGUGGUUAGGGCAGCGGACUCGCGGUUGUAGGAUCGCGGUUUCGAUUCCCAGAUCGGGUUUUGUGAGUGUUGUUUAUUGAGAGAACCCACCUAAAGUUCCACAAAGCUCCGGUAGGGGGGGUGAACCCUGCUGUAGCGUGUCCCCCCAACGUUCUCUCUUUCUUCAUGUUUCUGUUGUACCUGUAUUUCAAAGGGCCGGCCUUGUCACACUCUGUGUCACGCUGAAUCUCCCCGAGAAAUACGUUAAGGGUACACUUGUUUGUGGAGUACUCUGAUAUUUGCACGUUAAUUUUACGAGCAGGCUGUUCCGUCGAUCGGAUGAACUGGAACCCUCGAAGUUGC
Long non-coding RNA from Octopus sinensis (East Asian common octopus), 384 nucleotides. RefSeq lists it as uncharacterized. Lineage: Eukaryota; Metazoa; Mollusca; Cephalopoda; Octopoda; Octopodidae. The transcript has 5 exons. The record is from RefSeq and is a predicted model, not a curated record.